CAAAAGAAAAAGAAAAACAACAACAACAAAGGCUCAGCUCACAUAAACGCACCCUAUCAACCAAAACAACUCGAACAAGAAGAAGCAACUCAAAACGACGCCGCUGAGAGUCUACCCCGAUCAUGGCCUUCUCGUCCCGCCUUUUGUCCAAAUCCAAAGGACUACAAGGAGAAACCAGAUUAUAGUCGCUGUGUUGCUAUUGUAGCAACUGCAUCUUUGAGGGAAAUGAUAAAACCUGGUGCUUUGGCUAUUUUGUCGCCUAUAAUUGUUGGUGGGUUGACUGCUCUCAUUCUCAUUGUAGCCUAUGUCCUGUUUUAAUCUUUCAACUAUUAGGUUUACUGUUUUGGAUUUUGGGUUCCUAUACAGGGCAUCCUCUGCUUGGGGCUAAAGUUGUGGCUGCCAUGCUGAUGUUUGGAACAGUUUCAGGAAUUCUUAUGGCUCUUUUCUUGAACACAUUUGGUGGUGCCUGGGAUAACGCAAAGAAGUAUAUAGAGAUAGGUGCUCUCAGAGGCAAAGGGAGUGAUUGUCAUAAAGCAGCCAUUACAGGAGAUACGUAAGUGUUGUUGAUGUUCCCUUUUGGUGUUGUUCUUGCCAAUGUCUAGUAUUAUUAGUUAUGGCAAGUGGCAGUUAUAAAAUAUUGUGUCUCCUUUCAGUCACAUGAGUGGGUCUUGUGCUUUCAAUUUAUAGGCUCUGCUCGUUCUGUCUCUUUUGUGUCUUUUAUCUAUAGUUGUGUAAUAAUUUCUGUACUCCGUUAAUUGUUAACACGAAUGAAACACCCCUAAACAAAAUUUAAGGG
Molecule: RNA transcript, 796 nt
Organism: Quercus lobata
Lineage: Eukaryota; Viridiplantae; Streptophyta; Magnoliopsida; Fagales; Fagaceae
Gene name: pyrophosphate-energized membrane proton pump 3-like
Exons: 3
Source: RefSeq, a predicted model, not a curated record